AUAGCAAUGACAUAGGGGGUUAUUUUUUACGAUGGUGAGAAAAAAAUGUUAAUUUUGAAGUGCCAAUCGACCAUUUUUUCUAACUCUGACAAAUUUUGACGUUUGUCAAAAAUCAAAAGUAAACAAGAUGUGCGCGCCACAUAAUAAUACAGGAAAAAGCCUGAAAAUAAUAAUUAUUUGUGAAAUGAAUAUUUUUCCAACAUAUUUCCCAUUACUGCUAGCAGUUAUAUUGCAAAUGCGAACGUUGCAAUAUGGAGAUAUUUUAGGUCUAGCUUUGGAAAAGAGGAAAACACGGCUAGAAGUUUUGUAUAAGGAACCUUCUUCACGAACCAUUACUUCACGAAAAAUGAAUGCAAAUGCAAAUUUGCUUCUAUUUUUUACAUAAAUAUGAUGAACGAAAUAUGAAUAGAAAAAACACUACACGGCGGCGCUUUAAUUUCAUUAAACUACAAACACAAAACUGUACUUUUGUCAAUUAUUGUUAAAUAACUACCUUUUAGAAUUCCGCUGCCAAUGAUAAUAAACAAUAACUUUACUCAUUUUAUGCCGUACGCAAGUUGGUUACCAAAACGCAAAUGAAUUUACAAUUACUGACAUGGGACUUUGCUCAACGUCAAAAUUUGCUGUGCUGUCAAAAAUCUUACUAGCCCCUGGGCUACUCAAAAAUUAUUCAUCACGCUUAACGUCAUAUUUUUACUAUCCCUACAACUUUGCUGCUUUAAAAUCAAUUCAAUAAGUAAAUGGCGUUAAGAACUAUUCAUGACGGUGGUAAUGGGGUUCUAAUAACUAGACAAAUGUAUAAUUAUGCAAAAGACGGCAAGAACAAAUAAAAUAAUUCAAAUGCGAUCGUUAUUGACCCAAUGCAGUGUGAUUAUUGCUCCAGCUCCUCGCUUAUAUCGACAUGCCCGAAAAAGGCCGUCCCAAAAAUGGUUUCUUGGGCAAAUCGCAUGUUGUCUUCCUUCUUUGGAAGUCACAAGAGUGGAGUAACGCUGGUGGCAGGAUCAGAAAUCGACGGCAUCUGCCCAGAGGGUGCCGAGUCAUCAAAGUUCAUGGUAGAUGGGAGAGACAAAUUCAAUUAACAGCGUCACGAAUAGAAAUGCUAAUCAGAUUGGGCCAGGAAAGAGUUAGAUGUUAUAUUUUUAUUUUGCUCGUGGAAGAAGCACAAUUUUGUGAACAGGAGGGGUAAUCAUACCGUUUUGAGUUCUUAUGUCGACAAUUCGUACCUGGAUGUCACGACCAGUAUACAAUUUUACAUUACAAGUGGAUUCGUUUAGUAAAAGGACUAAAUCGUUAAGAACCAGUUUCUCCUGGUUGGAUUUCCAUUUGAAUAGCUUAUGGAGCUCCGUCAGGUACUCGAAUUUCCACCAACGACAAAAUUCCUGCUAGAUAAUAUUGCGAAUUUAGACAACAUUCGAUGGAGGUGCGUCUUACAACUUUUCACACCAGCCCUCUCAUAUGCGGGGUAGCAGCCGGUAUGAAAUGCCACUAUACUUGUUGAAACCUGUAGCGAGAAAGAACUUCAUCACGUAACUCAGACACAAUUUUUUUGGAGUUAGAGUUUAAUUCUCUUGCAGCACCCACAAAAUUUCUCCCGUUGUCCAAGUAUAUUUUCCUGCGGGCACCCUGGCGAGAGCCAAAUCAGAAUAAAGCAGGUAGAAAGGCUUGCGUCGACAGAUCACUUACGGGAUCAAGAUGGAUAACUUAUGUAACAAAACAAACAAAGAGACAAAAAUACCCUUUAGUAAGCCGGCAUCCUGGACCACGAAAGUUCUUAAGAAGUCGACUCCUGUCGUUGCAAAGGGUCGGCCAAAUAUUGUCCUCUUUUGGGGAAAAGGAGCUAUUAUUUAGCCCUGGCGUGUAUGUCUCGCUAUAGUACACUUCUUGCAAUGACUUAUUCGGGUUUUUAUAAGAUUCUUGGCCUGUAUUAUCCAACACUCAAGUCAGACUGUUGCCAGAGUCAAUUGAAUACCCCCAUGAAAAGUGAAUUUAUGAAUAAAGUCAACAUACAGUUGCGCGUACCGGGUUUGGUAUGCCAGAACGA
This is a long non-coding RNA of Stomoxys calcitrans (stable fly), 2041 nucleotides long. RefSeq lists it as uncharacterized. The record is from RefSeq and is a predicted model, not a curated record. Lineage: Eukaryota; Metazoa; Arthropoda; Insecta; Diptera; Muscidae. The transcript has 4 exons.